Mercenaria mercenaria is the source of this 1255-nucleotide long non-coding RNA. RefSeq lists it as uncharacterized. The transcript is spliced from 2 exons. The record is from RefSeq and is a predicted model, not a curated record. Lineage: Eukaryota; Metazoa; Mollusca; Bivalvia; Venerida; Veneridae.
AAUGUUUCUGCAUUCAUGUUGGUAAUUUAAUCACGAAUACGCGUAAGAAAUUGACGUUUUGUAGAAAUUUUAAAUUCGAGUUGUUCUAAUUGUGGCAUUGCAUUACAUUUGAUACAUUUUACGGAUUUUGUACUGAGUGCAUAUUGUUGUUUCAGCUAAUAUGCAAAGGGAAACUAUCUAGUGACAUUAACGUUUGUCUUCUUGUCGAUUUACGCUGCGCAAGUCAGUGUAUACUGGAAUCUAUUUUUGGAUGGAUAAUAUAAAGACGUUCUGUAAAUAGGUUUUGGUCGAUAUUUGUUUCUAAGAAUAGCUCUCUCUUCUAUAGUAAAGAAAGUUGCUGUUCUCUUUAGCUAGACUAUUUUUAAUGUAGUGCCGCUUACAAAUAUUUUUAGUUAAGGGGUUGUGUUUUAGUAUUGACCGGAACGGGUGCCAGUGGUGGUGAUGACGCAAAGAAGUUCAAAAGGUCGUUCAAAUUAACAUGUAGAAUGUACGUCAGAAAUAAACGAAUUUCGUCUCCAUAGGCAACCGAUUGCGUAGGCGUUUUGUCCGGAUCAAUACAUGUGUGAACUAAUAUUCCUUGUGAAAUACAUAAAAUUGCUUCUGUUUCCUUUAUAAUUACGCGAGUGCUACUGCUGGAUUAAAUGUCAUAAAUAAUGCACAGCCAGAAGACAGACAGUGGGAAGGAUAAUUUAUUCCGUGCUGCCAAAGAGAAAACAGAGCAUAACAAAAAAUAUUACAUCGCCAUAUAUGAAUAAACGAUUGAAUUACAUAAGAAUAAAAUAGAUAAACAAAGCAUUAUGUGUUAAUAAUUGUCACCUCAUUAAUUUUGAUCCUCCCUGAUAUUUGCUAAUAAAAUUCUGUUUAAAUACGUUAAAACACAAGGGGUGAUCUGAUAAAGGUUUUACGCCGUACCAACACAGUACAGGUUAAAUGACGCCAAGCAGGACUAAACGUUUUGGUUUCACAGCUCAUUUACGUCGAAAUAUGGAAUCACAACUUUAUAUCUGCCGGAAUCGCCGAGACACAGCAAAACCAAGUGUUCAGACUCGGUUAGUCGCCUCUUACGAUCGUGCAAGGUUAAGACAAUACAGACACAAGUUGUUGUCCCAAAUCCACAAGGGUAUUACAGUUUCAUUCAGUAGUAAUAUAACGUUUGAUUUGCUUAUAUAUAUAUUGGCUGCCUUCUGGAAUAUGUUAUUAUUGCAGUUAAACCAUCUUUUCCCGGACGUCAACGGAUAAUAAAUAUGAAAUUGGA